RNAcentral lists this long non-coding RNA (916 nucleotides) under Anser brachyrhynchus (Pink-footed goose). Its description in RNAcentral is "lncRNA (ENSABRG00000014979.1)". Lineage: Eukaryota; Metazoa; Chordata; Aves; Anseriformes; Anatidae. The record is from RNAcentral.
UAAGAGGCUGUAAGCCGAUUCUCUCAAAUUAAAAACUAAUGAGAAAUAAUAACUGGAAGACUCCAAAUAAGGUGUACUUACGACUGGCCAAGAUAUCCUGCCAAUAAAAAGGGAGAUGCAAAGGAGCCUCCCAAGACAGCCAGCACGAGGCACCUGGGAGGAUGGUGGUUUGGGAAGUGAAGAUAAAUACUUCCCUAACAUUAACCCCCCCACCACCCCCCAGCUGUGGAUCUCGGGAAGUCCCUCUCUGGUGUUGAUGUUUCACCACUGAACAGAGGAAAGCCGAAAAACCUGGAGAAAGUGCAUCCUCUCAUGUCCCACCAGGGGUCCCAGAGCGUAUUCCUUCUGUGCUGACGGAAGGAUCCAUCCCUUCCCUCCCUGCCUGAAGCCAUGACUAUGCUGGGGGCAAAACGUCUCCAGAAGAGCUGGAGUGAGAGGACCUUCCUGGGGGGUAUUUCCAACAUGCGACUGGGGGAAUGAGAAGAACUUAGCUCAAUUAUUUUGUUUUAAAACAUCUUCCUCCUCAGCCCGAUUUUAUACUUUAAAGUAGUUUUACAAGCUGUGGAGCUCAUGCACGUGUCUGAACCUGAAGGAGGAAUUGCUUCAUCACUGGAGGGGAAGGACAAGGCAUGGAGGUGCAAGGUCCAUCCUAAGAAUGCUGAACAUCAGUCUGGGACAAACCUUGCCUGCUCUCACUGUGACACCAGCACGGAAAGAAAGGAGAGAAGUGCCAUGCCCUGCAGCUGGGAAAUCACCAAAGAAACCCCAAACCCAAUUUCCACUGGAAUAAACAGAACACAGGACCUGGCAUCAAGACUUCCAUCCCACAGUGCAGCAACAGAUGCAGACUGCCAAGCUGACACUGUCCGUAAGGCCCUGAAAGCAGAAUCUCACCCCCCAAUGUCAGUGGAGCGUU